CUUGCUUUAGGAAGCGGAAGACUAAUGACCGAAGCUUCAAGACUUUGACAUGUGUGAAAACAUGAAAUGACCCUUGGCUCUUAUUGUUCUUGCUGGUGUGGUAUGUUCACGGCUGAAAAGAUGGUCAGAAGGGGAAAGGAGGAAGUGAGAAGAAAGAAACAGGGAAAUGACAGAGUGUUGCUCAGUUACCCAGGCUGGAGUGCAAUGGCAUGAUCUUGGCUCACUGCAGCCUCCACCUCCUGGGUUCAAGCGGUUCUCGUGCCUCAGUCUCCCAAGUAGCUGGGAUUACAGGCUGGAGUGCGAUGGCAUGAUCUUGGCUCACGGCAAACUCCGCCUCCCUGGUUCAAGUGAUUCUCCUGCCUCAGCCUCCCGAGUAGCCGGGAUUACAGGCAUGUGCCACCAUGCCCCGUUGGCCAGGCUGGUCUCGAACACCUUACCUCAGGUGAUCCUCCCACCUUUGGGAUUACAGGCUGAGGAAUUACCAAGGAGGCAGGAGGUGGAGCAAAACACACCAAGCCUGGUGCCAAUCAUUGACAAUAUUAUGGUUAGUACUUACUGAGGGCUGACUAUGGUUGAAACUGCCUUUGCAAAAUUAUGACUGAGACGGUGAAAGAGAUCUAACUUAACCAACGCUAGCUAUCUUGCCUCUAACCUCCAAGCUGUCCUUGUUCAUUCCUGGGCAUAGGCUGAACUAACUUUGGGAGAAAUUUAGUUUAUAGUUUGAAACAAAGAUGAUAACAGCCCUUUGCCAAAGCAGACCUCCUUCUUGUCUGGGGACUAGAUGGCCUUUGUAGGACUAACAUGAGCCACAAGAUUAGAAAUUAUGGAUAGGAGUCAUGCAGCUGGAGUCUCCAAGAUUCUGACCCUCCCUAAACUGCUCCCAAGAUCAAUGCUUGAGAUAUUUUGCAGACCCUGCAUGUGAUGGAUCAGCUGACACCAUCCAGAUCGGUAAACUGGUUCAUCUGAUCUUGUGCCCUCCACCCAGGAACUGACUCAGCGCAAGAAGACAGCUUCGACUCCUUGUGAUUUCAUCCCUAACCAAUCAGCACUCCUGGCUCACUGGCUUCCCCCAACCCACCAAAUUGUCCUUAAAAACUCUGCUCUCCAAACGCUGGGGGAGACUGAUUUGAGUAAUAAUAAAACCCUGGUCUCCUGCA
Molecule: long non-coding RNA, 1157 nt
Organism: Homo sapiens (human)
Lineage: Eukaryota; Metazoa; Chordata; Mammalia; Primates; Hominidae
Gene: PCED1B-AS1
Product: PCED1B antisense RNA 1
Source: Ensembl